Molecule: long non-coding RNA, 493 nt
Filed under: Homo sapiens (human)
Lineage: Eukaryota; Metazoa; Chordata; Mammalia; Primates; Hominidae
Description: non-protein coding lnc-MFSD9-18:2
Source: RNAcentral
UUUCUUAGUAAUGCCAUCAUCAUUAUUACCUAUUGAAUAGUAUUGAAAAACUCAGUAAUUAUUUCACAAAGUUUCUGUGGUUUUUAAAUUUGGUGCACCCUAAGUUCCUACAAAUUCAUCUAUUUUUUCCUCAUGUAUAAUUGAGACUUUGGCUGGGUAUAGAAUUCAAAAAUUAAAAUUAUUGAAGCAUUACUCUAUCGUCUUCAUUGUAGAUCAUCAUAUGCUUAGUAUCAGUUUCAUUUUCAUUCUCUUCUUAGAUAAUAUUGCUGUAGUUGUUUCUAUUCAGGAGAAUUUUUACUCUAUUCUUGAGUGCAGAUAUGCCAGCAGCCAAUGAUUGUGUGUUCAUCUUUUUAUGCGUUUGUUCCUGUUGUCACUUUUAUUCUAAAAUUGGUGUCUUUCUUUUACUUAUGCCUAUUUCCUCAUAUCCAUUGAUUCAUUUUUCUCUUUUUAGAUUUCCUAAUAAAUGCACAAUAAAUAUUUCAGAUCUCAGCUA